UACGUAGGUGGCGAGCGUUGUCCGGAUUUACUGGGCGUAAAGCGCGCGCAGGCGGUCCGGUAAGUCUCCGGUGAAAUCGCCCGGCUCAACUGGGCGGGUGCUGGGGAGACUGGCGGACUUGAGGAGCCUAGAGGCCGGUGGAACUCCCGGUGUAGUGGUGAAAUGCGUAGAGAUCCGGAGGAACACCAGUGGCGAAGGCGGCUCGCUGGGCUAUACCUGACGCUGAGGCGCGAAAGCGUGGGGAGCAAACAGG
RNAcentral lists this ribosomal RNA (253 nucleotides) under uncultured bacterium. RNAcentral describes it as "partial 16S ribosomal RNA". It matches the Rfam family "Bacterial small subunit ribosomal RNA", at positions 524 to 776 of the family's 1533-position model. The record is from RNAcentral.